GAUGAAGAACGUAGCGAAAUGCGAUAAGUAAUGUGAAUUGCAGAAUUCAGUGAAUCAUCGAAUCUUUGAACGCACAUUGCGCCCCCUGGUAUUCCGGGGGGCAUGCCUGUUCGAGCGUCAUUACAACCCUCAAGCUCUGCUUGGUGUUGGGCCCCGCCGCCCCGGCGGGCCCUAAAAUCAGUGGCGGUGCCGUCCGGCUCCGAGCGUAGUAAUUCUUCUCGCUCUGGAGGUCCGGGUGUGUGCUCGCCAGCAACCCCCAAUUUUUUCCAGGUUGACCUCGGAUCAGGUAGGGAUACCCGCUGAACUUAAGCAUAUCAAUAAGCGGAGGA
This 329-nucleotide unclassified non-coding RNA is filed under the name soil metagenome. RNAcentral's name for it is "partial contains 5.8S ribosomal RNA, internal transcribed spacer 2, and large subunit ribosomal RNA". The stretch from base 1 to 120 matches the Rfam family "5.8S ribosomal RNA", at positions 35 to 154 of the family's 154-position model. The record is from RNAcentral.